This 379-nucleotide long non-coding RNA is filed under the name Mytilus galloprovincialis (Mediterranean mussel). Lineage: Eukaryota; Metazoa; Mollusca; Bivalvia; Mytilida; Mytilidae. The record is from RNAcentral.
GUUUUUCGUUCAUUUUUGUACAUAGUUUUCUCAUUUGAAUUGUUUUACAUUGUUAUUUCGGGGCCUUUUAUAGCUGACUUUGUGGCAUGGGCUUUGAUCAUUGUUGAAGGCCAUACAGUGAACUAUAAUUGUUAAAUUCUGUGUCAUGUUGGUCUAUUGUUGAGAGUUGUCUCAUUGGCAAUCAUACCACAUAUAACUACAAUAAUAAGGGACAGUUGAAUCAGAAAAUAUUGUGUUUCCUACACAGAUGCAGAUGACAAUGUCAUAUUCUAUCCAACAUCAUGUUGAUGUAUUUCUAGUGGAUACACGUAGUAGGACUGAUGAGAGUACACUUCAUUAAUGUUCUAUUUUCUUGCCUUACAUUAACUGUUGUUAAAAU